Acinonyx jubatus (cheetah) is the source of this 2308-nucleotide long non-coding RNA. RefSeq lists it as uncharacterized. Lineage: Eukaryota; Metazoa; Chordata; Mammalia; Carnivora; Felidae. The record is from RefSeq and is a predicted model, not a curated record. The transcript has 3 exons.
UUAGGAAGUUGUUUAAAAUAACUGCAGUAGGUAUUUUUUGAAAAUUAUGCCAUGCAAACACAUAUAAAUGUAUAUUAUUUAUGAAGUAUUGGUUUCUUUGGGGGAACUCUUUCUGUCCCCAUAAUCUUGAAAUGCAGAUAGUUGCCCUGUGACUUUGAAGGAAUUGUGUAUUUUGUGACUGUGUAUUUUGAAGGAAUCUCUAAGAUUGUCACUGCUGAAGAAUGCAUUUCCUACUGGGCUGUCAUGGUACUAUUCUUUUUUUCCCUGGCUUGAGUCUCUUACCAGUAGAGUCAUGACUUUUUCUAAGUAGGCUCCAUACCCAGUGCAGAGUCCAACAUGGGGCUCAAAUCCAUGACCCUGGGCUGAGGUCAAGACAUAGAUGCUCAACCGACCAAGCCACCCAGGCACCCUCAGAGUCAUGACUUUUUAAUUAGACAACAACACCACACUGCCUGUGGAAGAACAUCAUUUAAAUCCAUGCACAAAGCAUGAUGAAUGUCUUGUAACCGAUCAAGCUUCUCUCUCUGUGCUAGCAACUAUGAGCCUCAGAGGCAGAGUUGGGGCCCAACCUUGAUAAAUGUCUCAUUCUUUAUUCUCAUCAUUUUUUCAGUUUCUUGACUUAUUAUUUUACUGUUAUGGGCUGAAUUUUGUCCCCCCUAAAAUUCAUAUGUUGAAGAACUAGCUCCUGGUACCUCAGAAUGUAACUGUAUUUGGCGACUGGGUCUUUAAAGAGGUAAUUAAGUAAGAUGAGGUCACUAGGAUAAGCCCUCAUCCAAUAUGAUUGGUGUCCUUGUAAGAAGAGGAAAUUUUGGCACAAACCUGUACAGAAGGAUGACCAUGUGAAGUCACAAAAGAUGGCCAUUUGCAAGCCAAUUAGAGGCCUCAGAAGAAACCAAUCUAAACUGUGAGAAAAUAAAUUCCUUUUGUUUAAGCCUCCCAAUCUGUGGGCCUUUGUUAUGGGCUGCCUUGUAUGUCUACCCCCAGCUCCCAAAGCCAGGAAGAUACAUCUUACCAGAAACUGACCCUGAUAGCACCUUGAUGUUGGAUUUCUACCCUCAAGAACCGUGAGAAAAUAAUUUUCUUCCUGUAAUUAUUAGACCCCUAUUUCUCUGAGUGGUGCUUAGGGGUAAGCAAGUCAAUGAAAAUGGAACUCUGAUUUUGAGGAGGAGUGGGUUAACCUGGAGUGGAUGGAGCAGAAAAUGGUCUGAGGUCCAACCCAACACUACUAUGUCAUAGGGACAUUUUUGCCAUUCACAGUGCAAUAGACUGAAUGUUUGUGUCCCCCCAAAUUCAUGUGUUGAAAUCCAACCCUCAAUGUGGUGGUACUAGGAGGUGGAGCCUUUGGGAGGUAAUUAGGUCAUAAGCCCUCAUAAAUGGGAUUAGUGUCCUUAUUGAAUAGAUGUCAAAGAGCUCUCUUGCUCUUUUUCUGCUGUGUGAAAAUACAGUGAGAAGUUGGCAGUGUGCCUCCUGGAAGAGGGUUCUCACCAGAACCCAGUCGUGCUGGCACACUGAUCUAGGUCUUUCAACCUCCAGAACUGUGAGAAGUAAAUUUCUGUUGUUUAUAAGCCACUCAAUGUAUUUUGUUAUAGCACCCAGGAACUAAGGCACACAGGAAAUGACAAGACUUGGUCUUUUCAGCUCUUGCAUGGGAGCCUUAGUGGCGAUCCAGUCCAGUGACAGUCCAAAAGGAUUCAUUUUAUUUUUAUUUAUUUUUUAACGUUUGUUUAUUUUUGAGACAGAGAGAGACAGAGCAUGAAUGGGGGAGGGUCAGAGAGAGAGGGAGACACAGAAUCUGAAACAGGCUCCAGGCUCUGAGCGGUCAGCACAGAGCCUGACGCGGGGCUUGAACUCAUGGACCGCGAGAUCAUGACCUGAGCUGAAAUCGGCUGCUUAACUGACUGAGCCACCCAGGCGCCCCUAAAAGGAUUCAUUUUAAUGUGAAUCUGCUGCCUGCCACAUCUACUCUGAGGUCCAUGCAAUGAGGUCAAGAGGAUUAUGCUCAACAUUCUAUUAUGCUUCUGUUUUUCUGGCUCACUCAGAGAUCAUCCAGAAUAAGAGGCUGGAAAUAUGUUGAUAAAACAUAGCACAUGACAUACCCACAGAAAAAUGAAUUGCAUGUCUGCUUACCUGAUUUUGCUUACUAUGGGAAUCUUCAAUCAGUCUAAGGUACCUGGUAUAGGAACACUAAAAAAGUCAACAAUUUAAUGCUGUUUGAAAAAAAAUUGGCUACUCCCAUCAUUUGUUUUUGUCUGCAUCUAGAUAAUUUCAUAUAUCUGGAUGAAAAGGAACAAAUUCUACCAACCAUCAG